GGGCCCGCACAAGCGGUGGAGCAUGUGGUUUAAUUCGAUGCAACGCGAAGAACCUUACCUGGGUUUGACAUGUACGGGACAGCUUUGGAAACAAGGUUUCUCUUCGGAGUCCGUAUACAGGUGCUGCAUGGCUGUCGUCAGCUCGUGUCGUGAGAUGUUGGUUAAGUCCCGCAACGAGCGCAACCCCUACUUCUAGUUGCCAUCAGGUUAAGCUGGGCACUCUAGUAGGACUGCCUGUGAUAAGCAGGAGGAAGGUUGGGAUGACGUCAAGUCCUCAUGGCCCUUACGUGUUGGGCUACACACGUGCUACAAUGUCAGUGACAAUGAGAUGCUAAGUUGCGAAACCAAGCG
RNAcentral lists this ribosomal RNA (351 nucleotides) under uncultured bacterium. Its description in RNAcentral is "bacterial SSU rRNA". It matches the Rfam family "Bacterial small subunit ribosomal RNA", at positions 917 to 1269 of the family's 1533-position model. The record is from RNAcentral.